Molecule: ribosomal RNA, 915 nt
Filed under: Halomonas sp.
Lineage: Bacteria; Pseudomonadati; Pseudomonadota; Gammaproteobacteria; Oceanospirillales; Halomonadaceae
Description: bacterial SSU rRNA
Rfam family: Bacterial small subunit ribosomal RNA
Source: RNAcentral
AGAUGCUGACGAGCGGCGGACGGGUGAGUAAUGCAUAGGAAUCUGCCCGGUAGUGGGGGAUAACCUGGGGAAACCCAGGCUAAUACCGCAUACGUCCUACGGGAGAAAGGGGGCUCCGGCUCCCGCUAUUGGAUGAGCCUAUGUCGGAUUAGCUGGUUGGUGAGGUAAUGGCUCACCAAGGCGACGAUCCGUAGCUGGUCUGAGAGGAUGAUCAGCCACAUCGGGACUGAGACACGGCCCGAACUCCUACGGGAGGCAGCAGUGGGGAAUAUUGGACAAUGGGGGCAACCCUGAUCCAGCCAUGCCGCGUGUGUGAAGAAGGCCCUCGGGUUGUAAAGCACUUUCAGCGAGGAAGAACGCCUGGUGGUUAAUACCCAUCAGGAAAGACAUCACUCGCAGAAGAAGCACCGGCUAACUCCGUGCCAGCAGCCGCGGUAAUACGGAGGGUGCAAGCGUUAAUCGGAAUUACUGGGCGUAAAGCGCGCGUAGGUGGCUUGAUAAGCCGGUUGUGAAAGCCCCGGGCUCAACCUGGGAACGGCAUCCGGAACUGUCAAGCUAGAGUACAGGAGAGGAAGGUAGAAUUCCCGGUGUAGCGGUGAAAUGCGUAGAGAUCGGGAGGAAUACCAGUGGCGAAGGCGGCCUUCUGGACUGAUACUGACACUGAGGUGCGAAAGCGUGGGUAGCAAACAGGAUUAGAUACCCUGGUAGUCCACGCCGUAAACGAUGUCGACCAGCCGUUGGGUGCCUAGCGCACUUUGUGGCGAAGUUAACGCGAUAAGUCGACCGCCUGGGGAGUACGGCCGCAAGGUUAAAACUCAAAUGAAUUGACGGGGGCCCGCACAAGCGGUGGAGCAUGUGGUUUAAUUCGAUGCAACGCGAAGAACCUUACCUACCCUUGACAUCCUGCGAACCCGG